Molecule: long non-coding RNA, 30466 nt
Filed under: Triticum aestivum (bread wheat)
Lineage: Eukaryota; Viridiplantae; Streptophyta; Magnoliopsida; Poales; Poaceae
Description: long non-coding RNA (TAES_LNC025627)
Source: RNAcentral
UACGCCAUGGUUCCCCACUCCCAUCCCAUCCACCCACCCAUUCCUACACCGAGGCGUGAAAACCCGCGAAGCCCCAUGCCCUCCUCCGUCCCCCACCCAGUCGGAGCCUCUUACCCGACGACGUCGUCCAUAGCAACACCUCGACGUCCCUCAUCCACCGUACCAUAUGAGGAUCCGUCAUCGAUCUCGUCGUCCCGCUGGUUCAGCCACCCCGUCCUCCACCUCCAAGGAGCUGCCCCGACGUUCCCCUCGUCUUUCGCGCCACCUCCAUUCCCACACCGCCGUCUUCACCUGCACCACCGUAAGAGCAUCAUCAUUACCAUUUCCUCGGAUGAAGCUGAGGCCUAAUCGGCGCCACCAAAGAGGUUGUACACUAAUCGCUGCAUUUUCUUCUUGAAUUGAUCUCACGGUGCUGCCAGUGCUCGGUCCCGAGCCGACACGGUGCGGCUCCAUCCACGGUGGCAUCGCCAGCCACUUCCUCCAUGGCGUCGCUCCCUUGGCGGCGACGUCCACAUCAGUAGGAGUUGCUGUUGCUUUAGCUCUCGCUCGUGCUGCUGCUCUGCUCUUGCUCUCGGUCCCCUGCUAGGUCUGCUCUUGCUAUUUCUCCUGCUCGUGUUGCUGCUCUCGCACUUUCUCUUGCUUGCGAUGCUACUCCGAUUUAGCUACACUUCAGUCGGCUGAAUCGACUUUUGGGUCAGUCGAUUUUUAGGGGGUGGGGGGCUCGCCAGAGUUAAGGAAGAACCAUCCGCAACAGGAAGGGGGGCUCGUCGGAGAGGUACCCCACUACCUAUCUUAGGGUUCAGGGUGGGGCAGUCGUCACCGGCGGUGGUGGGGCAAUGGUGUGGGGAUCGCCAGAGGGAUGGCCGGGGCGGCGGCGGACCGGCGGUGGGGAGUGGUUUUGGGGCGGGCGGGGCGGCGCACCGUCGGCCGUGGGCGGCGAGGGGCGGUUGUUUGGCCAGUGGUGGCUGGCGGCUCAAAGGGUGGAGGUUGAGGAUGAACUAUAGGCCCUUGAUUUCGUAUCCAGCGGCUAGAAAAUCGACUGACCAGAGAUGAAAAAGUCAGUCGACUGACGUGUAGCCUCACCUCUAGUGCGUUCAGUUUCGACAGCAAAAUUCAGUUUCGACAGUUAAGUUCAGUUUCGACAGUUAAGUUCAGUUUCGACAGUUAAGUUCAGAGAUGAGCGGCUGAUGUAUUUUACAUCUAGCACUUUGUGGUUAUGUAUUUUAUGUCAUCUCUUGGAGAUGCUAUUAGAAUUCCACUCAGGUUAACGUUGUCUCUCCUGUCCUGCUUCAGCCUUGGCGUCAUAAUACUCAUCGGAGCUGCUCCAACGAUGAAACCCUCCAUCACAGCGGAGCAGUACCCCGGGCUCCAUCUCAAGAUGCCUAAGAUCUUCUUCCCCUGCUCCGACAGCCAAGUCAGCCGGAUCAUCCUCACCGACCAACCCAAUCACGCUGAGAUCGACAUGGCUUCGCCAAAGAGGUUGUACACUUGUUGCAUCUCUUUUUUACUUAUAUAUAUUGUCCACUGAGCACACUCGGUAACGUGAAAUACGAUUAGUUUCUCCUACUAUAUGACAAGCAGUGAGGUACCGGGCAACUUAGCUAUCCGUGAUGGACUCACUUGAACGUCAUCAUUAUUUAUCUCUGCGCGUUUGAGCUGUGCAUUUGUCGAUGGGCCUGGGAGUUGAGCUAGUAGGGCAGUUGUAACGCCCUCGAUGCGGCUAUAUCUCCCACGUGUCGAAGCACGACUUAGAGGCAUAACCGCAUUGAAAGCAAUGUCGCAAGUGAGGUAAUCUUCACACAACCCAUGUAAUACAUAAGGGAAAGAGAUACAUAGUUGGCUUACAAUCGCCACUUCACACAAUACAUGAAUAAAGCAUUACAUCAACCAGAUACAAUCAAGGUCCGACUACGGAACCCAAAAUAAAAGAAGAGUACCCCAAAUGCUACACAGAUCCCCGAUCGUCCCGACUGGGCUCCACUACUGAUCAACUGGAAACGGAACAACACAAAGAACGAGAUCUUCAUCGAGCUCCUCCUUGAGCUUGGUUGCGUCAUCUGGACGGUUCAACGGCACCUGCAAGCUGGUUUUGGAAGUAUUGUGAGUCACGGGGACUCAGCAAUCUCACACCCUCGCGAUCAAGACUAUUUAAGCUCAUAGGUAAGGUAAAAGGUAUGAGGUGGAGCUGCAGCAAUCGACUAGCAUAUAUGGUGGCUAACCUAUUCGCAAAAGAGAGCGAGCAGGGAAGGCAAAAGCACGGUCGAACAACUAUGAUCAAGAAGUGAUCCUAGAACAACCUACGUCAAGCAUAACUCCAACACCGUGUUCACUUCCCGGACCCCGCCGAGAAGAGACCAUCACGGUAACACACGCGGUUGAUGUAUUUUAAUUAAGAUCAACUUCAGGUUUUCUACAACCGGACAUUAACAAAUUCCCAUAUGCCCAUAACCGCGGGCGUGGCUUUCGAAAGUUCAAAUCUCUGUAGGGGUGUCCCAACUUAGCCCAUCACAAGCUCUCACGGUCAAUGAAGGAUAUUCCUUCUCCCAAGACAAUCCGAUCAGACUCGGCAUCCCGGUUACAAGACAUCCUCGACAAUGGUAAAAAAAGUCCAGCAAGACCACCCGCUGUGCCGACAAAUCCUGAUAGGAGCUGCACAUAUCUCGUUCUCAGGGCACACCGGAUAAGCUAAGCGUACGGGAGCCAACGUAACCCAAGUUGCCAAGGGACGGCCCCGCACGGUGCUCUGGGUUGGACCAACACUUAGACAAGCACUGGCCUGGGGGGUUAAAAAUAAAGAUGACGCUCGGGAUGCACGACUCCCAAGGGAAAAAGGCUAGGUGGCGAAUGGUAAAACCAAGGUUGGGCCUUGCUAGAGGAGUUUUAUUCAGAGCGAACUGUCAAGGGGUUCCCAUUAUAACCCAACCGCGUAAGGAACGCAAAAUCCAGGAACAUAACACCGAUAUGACGGAAACUAGGGCGGCAAGAGUGGAACAAAACACCAGGCAUAAGGCCGAGCCUUCCACCCUUUACCAAGUAUAUAGAUGCAUUAAUUAAAUAAGAGAUAUUGUGAUAUCCCAACAAAAUAUCCAUGUUCCAAACAUGGAACAAGCUCCAAUCUUCACCUGCAACUAACAAUGCUAUAAGAGGGGUUGAGCAAAGCGGUAACAUGGCCAAACAACGGUUUGCUAGGACAAGGUGGGUUAGAGGCUUGGCUCAAUAAUAUGGUAGGCAUGAUAAGCAAGUGGUAGGUAUCGCAGCAUAGGCAUAUCAAAAGAGCAAGCAUCUAGCAAGCAAAGAUAGAAGUGAUUUCGAGGGUAUGGUCAUCUUGCCUGAAAUCCCGCAAGGAAGAAGAACGAGUCCAUGAAGAAGACAAACGGACGUAGUCGAACGGGUCCUCACAAACGCGGUGUUAACGGAACCAACCCGAAGAAGCGACACCGGAAAGAAGCACACAACAUACUAAACAACCAACACACGAACAUGGUAUGAUAUGCGGGAUGCGGUAUGCGGUGCAUAUGCAUGAUUUGGAAAGGAAUGAUAGAACCUGGACUCAACUUGGAAAUCCAAGAGUACCACUGAAAAGGUGAGGUGAUUUCGGUUGAAAUCGAUAUAAAGAUCACCGGAAUCGGAUGCACGGUUUGGAAAUGGCAAGUAGAACAAAUAUGGCACCGGUCUGCGAUAAUCAGCAAGUAGCCUUCUAAAUGCAUCAAGAUAAAUAUGCUACAACACUCAAACAUGGAAACAAAGUACAUGGCAGGGAUCCACUCAUGAUUCUUGACAAAAGAUGAACACUGAGCUACGGCUACUUCACUCAUUAACAGGCCCAAACAAGCAUGGCAAAAGAGCAAACGAUAACAGGUUUCAGACUUAGUGAAAUUAACACAAGUCAGGAAUUUAUCAUCAGGAAGCACACUUUAGAGCAUGAGAACUACAAGCUACAGGAACUUAACAUGUAAAAGCAAGGCAUGGCAUGAAGCUACUCAAAGCACUUAACAAAAGUCCCUUAGUGACCUUGAGCCAAAAGGGAUCAGAAAAUACAAUUGCAAGCAUGUGAACAUGGCAAAAACAUAAACAGAUUCAGACUUAGUGAAAAACUGGAGCAUGCAAAACAGAUAACGAGUAGGCAUGGUUACGAGCUCGAUGCACUCACUACAGAGCAUGGCAUGACAAACUAAGCAUACACUAAUCAAGAAGACAUGGCAUAGGAGCUAUACAUGGCAAGAACAACAACAUAGCAUGCACGGAUCAAUAGCAACAACCUCGGCAAAAUCGCUAAACAUGUCAACGAUCUGCCAACAAAACAUCCUUACUGAUCAUCCUCAAAAGAGGCACGGAUCACUAGGAAACAACAUGAACAUAUGGCAUAACAACAAUAUCAGGACAAGGACUUAGUGAAAUUCUAAGUCCCUGAAAUCAGCAUUAACGAUUACUCUACUUCGCAAGAUUGUGCUAGUCACCACAAAUAUCACAAAAAUACAUGGCAUACACCCCUGUAAAGAUGGCAUGGCAUAUAAAAAACACAUGUAGAUCUCAGGAUCAUAUCAUGCACACAUUAAUCAUGGCAAAAAUGACAAAAUGUCAUUUGCUGAAACAGAUCUGACAAAUUCCUCACAUAGCCCUUUUCCAACAGCAUUUCGGGCAUCCAGAUGAGCUCAAAUGAAAAUGAUGCAAUGAGAUGAAAUGAUGUACUCGUCGAGGCGAACAUUUGGAUAUGCUACACGCGCAAAUCGGAGCUACGAAUGUGGAGAUACGAUGCGGUAAAGAUUGCAUAAAAACAUAGCAGAUCUGGGGACUUAGAAGAAAUUUGGACCUAUCCGGGAAAAGUCAACGGCGGAUGAGGGGGUGCGGGACGACGAGAUCCAAGCGCGAGGCACGGCGUUUGGAUCGGGUGUUGACGCUGUCCAGGCCGAGGGUGAACGGGGUCGUUCCGGCCGAAGGUUGAAGAUGCCCGCGGCGGCGCCAGCGAUGGCGGGCAGCUCCGUGGCUCCGGCGAACAGGGGAGGCCGGAUCCGGCGUCGAGGUCGCCGGAUCUGGGCGGCGCCGGCCCAGACCGGACGGAUGUGAGGCAGGGCGGCACCGGAAGACACCGGCGGCGGCGCGGCGAGGGCAUGGCCGCGGCAAUCCGGCGAACAGGCGACGAGGCACGGGUUGCUCACGGCGGGGACGAUGGCGCCUCGAUGGCGGAGAAGACGGGCUGCGGGGCGCUGACUCCCUGGCGGCGCGCGAGGACCCCGGCGCAGGAUGGCGGCUCGGGCCCAUGGGGGCUGGAGACGGGCCUCGGCGGGCCACGCGGGUGGGACGGCGGAGGCGCUGCCAAAUGGCGAGGUGGGAUUGGAGGGGAGAUGCGGCAUGGCCGAUGUGGCGGCCCCUGAUUGGUGGAGGUGAGGUGGCCGGCGGAGCGGACAUGUUCGGGCGGCGCGUGGACGCGUCCGGCGGCGCGAGGGGAAGGAUUUUAGGGUUUGUACCAUGAAUUUUUGGGGAGAGCCACAUAUAUAUAUAUAUAUAUGUAGAGGGAGUUAGGAGAGUCCAAAUGAGGUGCGGUUUUCGGCCACGCGAUCGUGAUCGAAUGACCGAGAUGAUGGAGGAGGUUUAGGUGGGUUAUGGUCCACUUUGGAGGGGUGUUGGGCUGCAACACAAACGAGGCCUUUUCGGUCCCUCGGUUAACCGUUGAAGUAUCAAAUGAAGUCCAAAUGGCAUGAAAUUUGACAGGCGGUCUACCGGUAGUAAACAAAGGCCACAUGAAAAGUCUCAGUUCAAUCCGAAAACAUUUAACACCCGCACACGAAAAGAGGUAGAAUGGAACACCGGGUGACAUAGGAGCGCCGGAUUGCAAAACGGACAACAGGGAAAAUGCUCGGAUGCAUGAGACGAACAUGUAUGCAAAUGAAAUGCACAUGAUGACAUGAUAUGCAAUGCAUGACACGCAGGCAAUGACAAGACAACCACAGCGAAUAACCUGAGGACACCUAGCACAUCUGUCUCGGGGCGUUACAACACUCCACCACUACGAGAGGAUCUCGUUCCGAGAUCUAGAAUGGCACGGGAGGGAAAACGGAAGAGAAAGAGAAGAGGUAAAAACUAAGUUGCUUCUUUGACAAACGAGUGAGUCCAAAGAACCUUGAAAAGGUUGAGCAAAAUGAAAGAAAGAAAGCAACGGAGAAGAGCAAAUUUGAAAGCACUCCGUUAAGAAAGAGGAAUAAGAAAGAACCGAUUCGGGUAGCACUUCGGUUGAAAAGAUAUGAAAGACCUGAUAAAAUGAAAGAGCUUGAGCAAAGGGACACAACACUCCGGUUAAAAGGAUAAGCAUGAAAAGAAUAGGAUCUUGACAAGAACAAGAAGAAGGUUUGAAGAGAGCAGCAACACAAUGCCUCCGGAACAAAAGUAAGAAUGGAAUGAACGAAGGGAAAAAACGAGAGCACACUUACAACAAAUGCUAGAACGGAGUUGUUGGAAAACCAACAACGAAAAGAAUAAGAUUGAUAUGGUCUUAUGGAAUACAUCUCAAAUUAUGAGGUGACAACCUGCCACUCACGGGAAAAAGAAUUGGAUUGAUAAGAACAAGUAGACGAGAAGCUAUCUCACCGGGAGGAUAAAUGAAGAACUUGGAUCAUUGAUAAACACCAUAAGAGCGACAAUCCUUAAAGGAAAGCUUUAGGUGAAACAUGCCACAAGAUAACUCCAAUGAAGAGAUCGAUGGAUUUAAAAUACCUCAUUCUUAACAACCUGUGAAUCAUGAAACAUAAACUCAAAUUAUCAAGAAUGACAUAAUACCACCUCCAAUGAUACGGUAGAAAGAAUUGCACUCCGGAUUGCAAGAUGAAGAAUGCUUGAGCUCCUCUGAAAAGGAUCUUGAUGAACACUUCGAGAAGGAAUUAAAUCAUUGAUGAACCAACAUGUAUAACCUCCGGCAACAAAAGAAUGAUCAAACGGAAGGAAAGAGAAGUUGAAAACACAAGGUGAAUCCUUGUAAUGAUUUAGAUGGAUCUCUGUGGUGAUGUAAUUGCGAGAGCUUGGGACUCCGGGAAAGAAAGAUGAACAAAAGAAAUCAAGAAUUUAUUCGUCAUGAACAAAUUCUGAAGGAAGGAAUUGAUCACUUGGGUGAAACAAGAAUAAGAAUUACACUAUGUGUAUCCUUCAUCAAUUAAAUUGAUGAUCAACAAUGGAUUUGGCAUACUACUUAUUCUCGUAGAAAGAAUUAAGCGAGAUAUAGCGCAGACUUGGGAAGGUCUUCGACGAAUCCACCGGUAGGAUUGAAAACAACAAAUGAAUUGAUAUGAUAACAAGGUAAGAAGAAUCUUGAACGAACCACCGUAAGAAUUGAAAAUGAACAAAGAGAAGAUAAAGAAACACCGGGAAGAAUUAUAAAAUGAACGAGGAUGCUUGAGAGGAUUUAGAUACAUGAGAGCGAAGAGAUCACGAGCCGAUUAGAGAUCACUUGAACGAAGCCCCGGUUGGAGAAUGAUAACUGAAAGCUGAGGAUGAAUAAACCUGAAUUGAUGGACUCCAGAUAGGUGAAAGGAAUUCUCACAAUCAAAACAAUUAUGAGAGGAUGGCCUUGAACUAGAACCACGAAUCAUGAAGAGGAUGGAGCAAGAUUGAGAAAAUUCUUCUUCGGUCUUCACAAUCUGAGAAUUACGACGAGAAACACCACCAUGAAUUGUUGAGAUACUCCGGAAUGACGAUUUUAAAGGUUAAACCAACAAUGAAAAGAAAUGAAAGAUCUUGGAGAAAGACAUUUGACUGAUGACAAUUCAUUCUUACGUAAAACUUCGAAAAGAAUUUGAUGGUAGCUCCAGGAAAAUAGAAGAGUCAGGUAAGAUCCUGGAAAAAGACCUGUGGGUUAGGGCCCACUCAAAAAAAACACCGUUGAACAAUAACUUGAAAAGGAGAUAGCACCGGUUGAAUUAAAUGGCUUGAAUAAGAUAAGACCUCAAAAUAGGUUGACUGGAUCUUGGAUGACAAGAUGAGCCUUUUGAGAUAUCUUCAGCACUCCGGAACAAAAGAAUAGCGAGAAGUGGAUGAUUAUGAGGUGCACUGACAUGUGAAUAUCAUUAGAAACAAAGAAAAGAAUAUGAUCAACACUGAAAACUUGAAUUGAAUCCACCGGAGAAGGAAAAGCACGAAGAAUGAUGAACUUGAAUCUCCGUUAGAAUCUUCAUGAGAAUCACCGGAUAAUAAUAUUGAUGGAAAAGAAUGGAGAGACUUCAUAACCAAUAAGAUGGAUACUUGAUUAAGAAUUCUGAGUCGUCGAAGAAAAAGGGAGGGUGGGCGGGAAAACAAAGGCAACUUGGAGACGAAUGAAACAAACACCAUUGAGAAGACUUGAGUUGAUCUUGCGGAUGUUGAAAUGAUCGGAUCCACUUGAAGAGAAGCACGCCGGUUAAAAAGGAUUGACAAAACAAUCUUGAUGAUCAAGAAGGAUUGGUAUUCACAAUGGAGUAUGAGAACACCAUUUGGGGAAGGUAUGGAAUCAAAAUUUGACUUCGAAGCAACUCGAAUACCACAACUCAAAACAAAACAAAGGAUUGGCUUGCAGAAUAAGCCGGAACAAACAUAUGAUAGAGAUUUCGUCCGAAGUUUUUGUGGUGGGGCCUACACGGGCUCGAUCGUACAACACCAUCAUGUACAAGGCAGUGCACAUGACAUACUAAGCGUCCCCGAGUCGGCAUAGCCAAGGACUCUUUAAGAAAACAACAAGACCACUAUAAAACCAAUCGUGAAUAGGCGGACCACUAGACGUCGAACCCCAAUUUCAUAUCACACAUCUGUCGGAAAGUUAUCCUAAGAGCUACUUGAAUUCCCACUUAUAAACUCCCGAAACUUUCUGGUUAUGCAAUCAGGUGUUGGGGAUACAGGGGAAGCAUAAUAUCUCACCCAAAUCUAGCAAAUCCUACAUCCAGCUGUAUCCAUCCUUCAACACAUAACCAAGAAACCUUCGGAAAUCAUCUACCUCAACCUUUGAAAAGCAUCCGUUAUACGAGUUAUGGCAAUACUCCCGAACUCCCGCCCCGGUACUGGGUGACGUCGAGGUUAUCUCACCAACAACUGCAUAAAAGAGAUUUUCGAUGUCGGCGAAACUAAACUCAGGUAUUCCAGAACUGCAACGAUAAAUUUGUGAUGACAACACCUUGGAGCUCAACUCCCGGGACACUGCCACAACCCCUAAAUGACAGGAGGCACCAAGAACAAUGUUCUCGUCACAAAUCGAUCGGGACGAUUCCAAGAUACCCGCGUGAUCCUAAAAAAAAAUUAGUGAAAUUUGAGAAGAGAAGAGUCAAAACUCUACGUCAGGAUGCCUCACCAGAGCGACGAAGGGACUGAGGAGUAAAAAGAAUUCCUAACUCUCCGAUAUAUAUAAUUCCUAAAAGACUCAAAACAUUUCUAGACUCAAUAUCGCCAGCGAUUCGAUCAAGCAGGGGGCUCCUAAGGUCAGGGAAGGCUUUGAUACCAACUUCUAACGCCCUCGAUGUGGCUAUAUCUCCCACGUGUCGAAGCACGACUUAGAGGCAUAACCACAUUGAAAGCAAUGUCGCAAGUGAGUUAAUCUUCACACAACCCAUGUAAUACAUAAGGGAAAGAGAUACAUAGUUGGCUUACAAUCUCCACUUCACACAAUACAUGAAUAAAGCAUUACAUCAACCAGAUACAAUCAAGGUCUGACUACGGAACCCAAAAUAAAAGAAGACUACACCAAAUGCUACACAGAUCCCCGAUCGUCCUGACUGGGCUCCACUACUGAUCAACUGGAAACGGAACAACACAAAGAAUGAGAUCUUCAUCGAGCUCCUCCUUGAGUUUGGUUGCGUCAUCUGGACGGUUCAACGGCACCUGCAAGCUGGUUUUGGAAGUAUAUGUGAGUCACGGGGACUCAGCAAUCUCACACCCUCGCAAUCAAGACUAUUUAAGCUCAUAGGUAAGGUAAAAGGUAUGAGGUGGAGCUGCAGCAAGCGACUAGCAUAUAUGGUGGCUAACCUAUUCGCAAAAGAGAGGGAGAAGAGAAGGCAAAAGCACGGUCGAACAACUAUGAUCAAGAAGUGAUCCUAGAACAACCUACGUCAAGCAUAACUCCAACACCGUGUUCACUUCCCGGACCCCGCCGAGAAGAGACCAUCACGGUAACACACGCGGUUGAUGUAUUUUAAUUAAGAUCAACUUCAGGUUUUCUACAACCGGACAUUAACAAAUUCCCAUCUGCCCAUAACCGCUGGCACGUCUUUCGAAAGUUCAAAUCCCUACAGGGGUGUCCCAACUUAGCCCGUCACAAGCUCUCAUGGUCAACGAAGGAUAUUCCUUCUCCCAAGACAAUCCGAUCAGACUCGGCAUCCCGGUUACAAGACAUCCCCGACAAUGGUAAAACAAGUCCAGCAAGACCACCCGCUGUGCCGACAAAUCCCGAUAGGAGCUGCACAUAUCUCGUUCUCAUGGCACACCGGAUAAGCUAAGCGUACGGGAGCCAACGUAACCCAAGUUGCCAAGGGACGUCCCCGCACGACGCUCUGGGUUGGACCAACACUUAGACAAGCACUGGCCCGGGGGGUUAAAAAUAAAGAUGACCCUCGAGAUGCGUGACUCCCAAGGGAAAAAGGCUAGGUGGCGAAUGGUAAAACCAAGGUUGGGCCUUGCUGGAGGAGUUUUAUUCAAAGCGAACUAUCAAGGGGUUCCCAUUAUAACCCAACCGCGUAAGGAACGCAAAAUCCGGGAACAUAACACCGAUAUGACGGAAACUAGGGCGGCAAGAGUGGAACAAAACACCAGGCAUAAGGCCGGGCCUUCCACCCUUUACCAAGUAUAUAGAUGCAUUAAUUAAAUAAGAGAUAUUGUGAUAUCCCAACAAAAUAUCCAUGUUCCAAACAUGGAACAAGCUCCAAUCUUCACCUGCAACUAACAACGCUAUAAGAGGGGCUGUGCAAAGCGAUAACAUAGCCAAACAACGGUUUGCUAGGACAAGGUGGGUUAGAGGCUUGGCUCAACAAUAUGGGAGGCAUGAUAAGCAAGUGGUAGGUAUCGCAGCAUAGGCAUAGCAAAAGAGCGAGCAUCUAGCAAGCAAAGAUAGAAGUGAUUUCGAGGGUAUGGUCAUCUUGCCUGAAAGCCCGCAAGGAAGAAGAACGAGUCCAUGAAGAAGACAAACGGACGUAGUCGAACGGGUCCUCAUAAACGCGACGUUAACGGAACCAACCCGAAGAAGCGACACCGGAAAGAAGCACACAACAUACUAAACAACCAACACAUGAACAUGGUAUGAUAUGUGGGAUGCGGUAUGCGGUGCAUAUGCAUGAUUUGGAAAUGAAUGAUAGAACCUGGCCUCAACUUGGAAAUCCAAGAGUGCCACUGGAAAGGUGAGGUGAUUUCGGUUGAAAUCCAUAUAAAGAUCACCGGAAUCGGAUGCACGGCUUGGAAAUGGCAAGCAAAACAAAUAUGGCACCGGUCUGCGAUAAUCAGCAAGUAGCCUUCUAAAUUCAUCAAGAUAAAUAUGCUACAUCACUCAAACAUGGCAAGAAAAUACAUGGCAGGGAUCCACUCAUGAUGCUUGACAAAAAAUGAACACUGAGCUAUGGCUACUUCACUCAUUAACAGGCUCAAACAAGCAUGGCAAAAGAGCAAACGAUAACAGGUUUCAGACUUAGUGAAAUUAACACAAGUCUGGAAUUUAUCAUCAGGAAGCACACUUUAGAGCAUGAAAACUACAAGCUACAAGAACUUAACAUGGAAAAUCAAGGCAUGGCAUGAAGAUACUCAGAGCACUUAACAAAAGUCUCUUAGUGACCUUGAGCCAAAAGGGAUCAGAAAAUACAAUUGCAAGCAUGUGAACAUGGCAAAAACAUAAACAGAUUCAGACUUAGUGAAAAACCGGAGCAUGCAAAACAGAUAACGAGUAGGCAUGUUUACGAGCUCGAUGCACUCACUACAAAUCAUGGCAUGACAAACUAAGCAUACACUCAUCAAGAAGACAUCUCAUAGGAGCUAUACAUGGCAAGAACAACAACAUAGCAUGCACGGAUCAAUAGCAACAACCUCGGCAAAAUCGCUAAACAUGUCAACGAUCUGCCAGGAUUCACUUUAUAGCAAAAGUAGAGCUCGAUUGACUCAAGCUAGGAUGCUCCAUAAUUGAAAACAAGGACAUGGAUGGAUAGAGCACCACAAUUGUAACAAAACAUCCUUACUGAUCAUCCUCAAAAGAGGCACGGAUCACUAGGAAACAACAUGAACAUAUGGCAUAACAACAAAAUCAGGACAAGGACUUAGUGAAAUUCCAAGUCCCUAAAAUCAGCAUUAACGAUUACUCUACUUUGCAAGCUUGUGCUAGUCACCACAAAUAUCACAAAAAUACAUGGCAUACACCCCUGUAAAUAUGGCAUGGCAUAUAACAAAACACAUGUAGAGCUCAAGAUCAUAUCAUGCACACAUUAAUCAUGGCAAAAAUGACAAAAUGCCAUUUGCUGAAACAGAUCUGACAAAUUCCUCACAUAGCUCUCUUCCAACAGCAUUUCGGGCAUCAAGAUGAGCUCAAAUGAAAAUGAUGCAAUGAGAUGAAAUGAUUUACUCGUCGAGGCGAACCUUUUGAUAUGCUACACGCGCAUAUCGGAGCUACAUAUGCAGAGAUACGAUGCGAUGAAUAUUGCAUAAAAACAUAGCAGAUCUGGGGACUUAGAAGAAUUUGGACCUCUCCGGGAAAAGUCAACGGCAGAUGAGGGGGUGUGGGAUGACGAGAUCCAGGCGCGAGGCACGGCGUUUGGAUCGGGUGUUGACGCUGUCCAGGCCGAGGGUGAACGGGGUCGUUCCGGCCGGAGGUUGAAGAUGCCCGUGGCAGCACCGGCGAUGGCGGGCAGCUCCGUGGCUCCGGCGAACAGGGGAGGCCGGAUCCGGCGUCGAGGUCGCCGGAUCUGGGCGGCGCCGGCCCAGACCGGACGGAUGCGAGGCAGGGCGGCACCAGAAGACACCGGCGGCGGCGCGGCGAGGGCAUGGCCGUGGCACUCCGGCGAACAGGCGGCGAGGCACGGGUUGCUCGUGGUGGGGACGAUGGCGCCCCGGUGGCGGAGAAGACAGGCGGCGGGGCACUGACUCCCUGGCGGCGCGCGAGGACCCCGGCGCGGGACGGCGGCUCGGGCCCGUGGGGGCUAGAGACGGGCCUCGGCGGGCCGCGUGGGUGGGACGGCGGAGGCGCUGCCACAUGGUGAGGUGGGAUUGGAGGGGAGAUGCGGCAUGGCCGAUGUGGCGGCCCCUGAUUGGUGGAGGUGAGGUGGCCGGCAGAGCGGACAUGUCCGGGCGGCGCGUGGACGCGUCUGGCGGCGCGAGGGGAAGGUUUUUAGGGUUUGUACCAUGAAUUUUUGGGGAGAGCCACAUAUAUAUAGGUAGAGGGAGCUAGGAGAGUCCAAAUGAGGUGCAGUUUUCGGCCACGUGAUCAUGAUCGAACGUCCGAGAUGAUGGAGGAUGUUUAGGUGGGUUUUGGGCCACUUUGGAGGGGUGUUGGGCUGCAACACAAACGAGGCCUUUUCGGUCCCUCGGUUAACCGUUGGAGUAUCAAACGAAGUCCAAAUGGCACGAAAUUUGACAGGCGGUCUACCGGUAGUAAACCAAGGCCGCAUGACAAGUCUCGGUUCAAUCCGAAAACGUUUAACACCCGCACACGAAAAGAGGUAGAACGGGACACCGGGUGACAUAGGAGCGCCGGAUUGCAAAACGGACAACGGGAAAAAUGCUCGGAUGCAUGAGACAAACAUGUAUGCAAAUGAAAUGCACAUGAUGACAUGAUAUGCAAUUCAUGACACGCAAGCAAUGACAAGACAACCACAGCGAAUAACCUGAGGACACCUGGCACAUCGGUCUCGGGGCGUUACAGCAGUGGCCUAGGUCCAAAGUAGUAGAAGUAGCACAAAAACAUUUUUUGAGUGUAGGCUUUUCCUUGCUCAAGCCUACCUACUAGAAUCACCAGUGCUUGAAAGGAAAAGUGAAGGAAAAGACAUAGGAAUUGGAAAGUUUCCUAUGGUACUACUAUUCAUGCAUUUGGUUCAAAGGAAUGAAGCAAAGAAAAACUGUAGGAUUUGUUCCUUUAGUGUCUCCUUGAAAGAAAAACCGUAGGAAUUUUAAUAUCCACUUGUCCUCCUUUUCGAAUUCCUAUUCAUGUAGCACAAGACUAAGAGAUAGUAGCAUAAUAGCAUUAUAACCAUACAUUUUCUUGUGGUUUGACUUAAUCUCAUCAUGCUUCUUUACAUCCUUUGAUCUUCCAAUUCUUGUGAACCAAACACCCAGAUUGGCAGAAAUCCUGUGUUUUUAAAUUCUCUAUUUUGCACGUGCAUUCCUAUCCUAUUACUGUCUAUUUCCUAUCCCUGCAUUGUUAGAAUCCUUCAAUUCAAACGAGCCCUUGCAGAAUUACUUCUCUUACAGAUAGUUGUCAAAGAAAACCUUGUGUGGUUUGUCCUGCUCUUGUUGCACCGUCGUCCACCCCAGCUCAGCUGCUCCAACGACAGAAGGGUCCAGCACAGCAAGGAUCUGGCCUCCAGACUGUCUUUCGCCGCCUCAGAUCUUCUUCCCCGCCGCUGGCAGCCAUGACAGCUACAUUACCAUCAUCAACCGAGCAGAUGACCUCGAGGACUACACGGGUCCAUAAGAGAGGUCGCGCUCUUUCAUGUCUACUUACGUUAUGCAUCACUUAAUAUUACAUGCUACUUUAUCGUCCUGUUCACCAAUUAGACUCUGAGUCAGCUCCAAAAUAAUGGUCAAACUUGAGUUUUUAAAUGGUUGUGGGGUACAUAUCGGAGCCGCAAUCAAUAGUAUCUAUCUACUAUCUGGUUAAUCUCUGGUGUCUAGUAUGAGUUUCAUGUUAGGUGGGAAACAAACAGUAAAGAAGCCAUUAUCUAUAUUUUUAACUGAAGCCUUUAUAUGCCUGCUAUCAUUGUUUUGGGUCUAUCCACAGGUUGCUACCAUCACUCUGGAUUUCUGCAUGCACUCCUUACAUAAUCUCACUAUGUUUUAUUCCUAUGCAUGCCAGUUAUUGUACACAAUGGAACUGAACAUGUAGAGCAAAAGAGACGAGCCUUUCGUGGCAAUAAAAUUUCAUGCAAACGUCGCUCCAUGGUAGGCGCAAAGGCAGCCCCCCUCCACCCAUUUCGGAUUGUAAUCGAGAGGAAGAUAUCUAUUCUGAGGGGGGUUCAGAAGGAGAAGACCACUCCUAUUUACCCCCCUGAGGUCUUCGCUCUAACUUGGCAUGCUAAUGUUGGUUAUAUCAUGCAUAUGGUGCCUUGGAUUGCUUACUUUAUACAUCAAAUAUGUCAUCUGCUUAGUUUAGACAUGCUUUGUGUGAAUGCCAUCUAUUUAGUUUAUUCAUCGUUUAUGUGAAUUAUGCAACGCCAUCUUGUUUAGCCAGGCAUCAUAUAUGUGAAUUUUGCAAUGUCAUCUUGCUUAUCCAGUCAUCUUAUAUGUGAAUUAUAUCAGGCAUCCUUUUUUUGUUACAUACUACAUUUGUCAACAAUGUUAGUACAUUCAACUACUCUUCGUGUGCAUCAGCCAUUUGACACGGUGAUGGAAAAUUUUGGAGUGAAAACAAGGUCUUCAGAGCAGACAAUGCUAUCUGACGAAGCGCAUAUCUCUCUGGUUACGGAUAGCUCCUCAGAGGAGGAUUCAGAGAAAGAUGACCAGUCCUAUCCCCCCCAAGGUGUAUGCUCUAACUUGGCAGGUUUAUGUUGCUCAUAUCGUGUGUAUGGUGUCUUGCAUUGCUAUGUCAUUUGAUUAGUUUAGACAUGCUUUGUGUGAAUGCCACAUGUUUAGUGUCUAAUUACCAUAUAUGUUAAUUAUGCAUUGCCAUCUUGUUGUAAGACAUUAUAUAUGUGAAUUAUGCAAUGCUAUCUUGUUGCAAAGGCAUUAUAUAUGUGAAUUAUCCAAUGCCAUGUUGUUUAGCCAAUCAUCAUGUAUGUGAAUUAUAUCAUGCUAUCAUUUUUUGUAUUACGUGUUCCAUUUUUCAACAACAUUUGUAUAUUCAACUACUCUUCCUAUGCAUCAGCCAUUUGAAGUGGUGAUGGAAGUAUCUGGAGUGAAAACAAGGUAUUCAAAGCAGACAAUGCUACCUGCUAAAGCACACAUCUUGCUGGUUACAGAGAGCUCCUAAGAGGAGGAUUCAGAGACUAAUGACCAGUCCUAUUUUCCCCCUAAGGUCUAUGCUCAAACUUGGCAGGGAUAUAUUACCCAUGUCAUGCAUGUUGUCUUGCAUUGCUUAGUUUUUACAUCAUAUAUGGAUUGCCAUCUGCUUACUUGCUUACUAUAUAAAUCGUAUAUUUGAAUUAUAUCAUGCCAUCAUGUUUACAUACACAACAUGUAUCUGAAUUAUGGCAUGGCAACCCAUUUAAUAAAGACAUCAUAUAGUUAUAUCAUCUUAUCCUGUUUAGUGUUUGCAGUCAUCAUAUUUUGAAUUAUGUCAUUCUAUCCGUCAAUUAUAUCAUGCUAUCAUGUUUCCAUAGGUGGCAUGUAUGCGAAUUAUGGCAUGCCAACCUAUUUAAUAAACACAUUAUAUAGUUAUAUUAUGUCAUCCUAUUUACAUAGUCAUCAUAUUUUGAACUAUGUCUUUCCAUCAUUUUUAGUUAGCCAUCAUAAUGUGAAAUUGUGUCAUGCUAUCCUGUUUAGUUAGCCAUCAUAUAUGUGAAAUUGUGUCAUGCUAUCCUGUUUGGUUAGACAACAUAAAUGUGAAUUAUUUCAUGCCCUCUUUUAUUCCCCACUAUCCAUUGCACCUGUCUUAUCAUACAAUGCUUGUACAUUCAAUUACUUUUCUUGUUUAUCAGCCAUUUGAAUAGGGGAGGGUGAUGGUGGUAUCUAAGGGAGUAGCAACACGGUCUUCAGAAAAGAUAGUGCUACCAGUUGAUGCAGAUAGAACCACGGUUGUACUUGCCCAAGAACCAGCCCCGCCACACAUAACCCAGACUCUCGCAGAUUGUACCCCUACCCAGUUGGACAGAGAACCAGCUACUCCCCUUCUAACCCCAACCCCAGCAGAUAGUAACCCAGUUCCAGUUGACACAGCACCAUCUCCACCACAGAGCAGCCAAACACGAUCAGUUAGUAAGGGAACUGCAGUGCCCAAAGCACGAGGACCCCCACUUCGAAUCCUAACUUAAUGCUUAAAGGAGAAGAAGAAUUGUUCUCAGGUCAGGUUCUGUAGCUAUGUUCAUACUCCUUUGCUCUUGCAUCACUGUAUUUACUCAUACCAACUAUUUUCAAAUUUGAAUGAUGGAAUUGAAACUCCAGUGGCGCAACAGGUAUGUUUUAAACCUGUUUCUUUAACUGGUUUGCUGUUGUAACUUGCUCUAUGUUGAUUUCAGUUUCAAUUGAAUAAACAGUUAUGUUCUCAUGUCAUGCACAUUACAAGUGUUGUUAUUGCUCUAUAGUUUCCCACACUUAUAUUCUUUCUAUUUUGCUUUGUCUUGAACAAAUAUUAUGUGAACCGUGUCCCUAUCUUGAUUUGGCAACGAAAACUAGAAUGAUAUAGACCAUAAAGUGACCAUGGUACAUAGAUAUAUGUUUGUUUCAUGAUGUUAUCAUGUCAACUUUACUACUGAACUGAUUUACCAAAAUGAGUUUCAUAUACAACAUGGUAAACAUGUGAUGUGUCUUCUUGUUUCUCUUUUAGAAUGCGGACAAAAUAUUUGAGAACAGUACCCCGUUAUGCAAUGGUAAAGGAAGUAAUGCAGAUAAGGUUCAAGAUAGUGAGACAUCCAUGUUGGUCUCCAAGAAAGCUGAUAAAAACUUUCUUGACGACAGUGAGAGAACCCAAAAGUCAUGUCUUGAUGUAGUGUUCGAGUUAUUGGCCACUACUUCUGGCACAAGCUCUUUGAACUCGCUGCCAGAAUCAGUUCGUCUUCUUGAGUCUCAACUUCAAGUUGAAAGACAUCGAUCAGAUGUGCUGCGACAGGAAGCUGAAGGAUUGAGGAAGUCCCUGCAGAAUUCAGAUGCAUACUUUCUGGUGCAACAGCAAGCACUGGAGGAUUUAAGCGCCAAACAAGAGAAAGUUAAUAAGCUUGCUAAGCAUCUUGCCAGCAUUAUGGGUACCCAGGAUAUCGUUUCUUGAGAUCUUUUGAAGUGGUUUCAGUUCUGGACUUGUUUUGCUACGGCGUUUAUUUGCACGGGUUGCCAACUUUGACAACCAGUGUAUAUGAUAUGCUGCUUUGUUCCCUAUAUUUGCACUGGUGGCGAACUUUGAUGCCCAGUGGAUGUAAUAUGUGUAAUAGCCGUGAUAGCCUAGCGUAAGUUGCUUGCUUAUUUGUUUCCUUGUUGUCUUGUUUAUUUGUUUGCUUGUAAUCAGUGCAGUUCUUUUUCCGCGGUUUGGCCGCAAUAACCUAUUUUUUAAAACUAGGCCACAAUAACCAUGGGCUACAUAUUUACUGUAGUUACCAUGGGCCUCCUACGGGCCGUAGAAACAAUGGGCCUUGUAAGGGUCGUAGAAACAAUGGGCCUUCUACGGGCCGUAGCAUCAAUGGCCCUUAUACGGGCCGUAUGAUCGAUUGGCCAAACAUGGGCCAAUAACAGACCGCAUUAUGGGCUGUAAACGGGCUAGAUUUGGAAUCGUCCGUUCAUGGGCCGACAAUAACGGGCCAUCAUUAAUCGGUUGUAUUUGAUGACGCUAUGAAAACGGCCCAACGGAUUAACGGGCCACAAACAGGCCGAUUGUAACCACGGGCUGAAUUUGGCCCACAAGCAGAAAAGGCUAGUAAUGGGCCGUAAGUAACCGAAUGCUGGAAUAAAUGGGCCCUGAGAAGGCCGAAAGAUAACACGGGUUGGAAACGGGCCAAUGAAAUAAUGGGCCGUUAGUGGGUAUGAAGCGAUACACUGUUCAUUGCGGGCUAGAUUCACUACGGGCCGUUAAUGGGCCAAGAGUUACAAAUGGCCUCGUAUGGGCCGAAAGACAUCAUGGGCCGGAAGUUACAACGGGCUGGAAUCAUAUUAGAUGGCCGAGAUGAAGCUACUGGGCUUAAUUCCGAUAGGUCGUAACGGGCCAUGAGUUAGCGGGCUGUAAAUGGGCUAUAUAGGAACAUGCUUUCUGUGGGCCGGCCUGUUACCUUUUAACCAAGUCAAACGGGUCGGCCUUUUCACCGGAAUGGGCCUCUGUUGGGUCGUGCCAUGUGUCGACCUAUCAUAGGCGCCUCUUGUCCAAUGAAUGGAUGACAUCUGUCCCAACGGUGAGCCAACACGUGCUUCCUCCGGCCAAUGACAAUUUUACAUGUGGAAAAUCCUCAUUGGUCAGGGUUGUUAAUGGGUUACCAGAUCCAAAACCGGACCCGAUAGCUUAAAGACGACCCGUUACGGUGGAUGCCACGUGUCGGUCACCCUUGACGAAAGCACUUCCAUGACGCGCGAUUUAUCGUCAUGGAAGUGGACACUUCCAUGAUGAUAAUUUUGGUAAUGUCAUGGAACACUUCUACGACAGCACAGGUAUGACUAUCUUGAUUCUGUCAUAAAAUCGUCAUGGAUUUGCAUGCAUGACAGAAAACAUGACCUACUAUGACAAACACGUAUCAUCACGGGAGUGUAUUUUUUUGUAGUGCACUCUCACUCUCAGUAUGGUGGCAGAAGUCACUCAAGUCAUCAUACGUCGUCGUGGUCGAAGGGAAAAUCCCAUUCUCAACCAUCUCGUCACCGUCGUCAUGGAUGAAGGCCGAAGAUGGCACAUCAUCACUAGCCUCCAUGACCGAAGGGAAAAUCCCAUGCUCGAUCAUCUCACUCUCGCCUCCAAAGAUGGAAGCAUCAUCCUUGCUCGUCACCAUGUCGUUCGCCUCCAAAUCUUGUUCCUUGAGAGACUCCGUAGUAAUAGUCGUCAUCGCGUCGUCUUCAAAAAGAGUGAUGGUAGACUCAGCAUCAUCAAUGCCACAAAGAGGGAUGGCGGCGAAGUCGAACUUGGGAGCGUCGUCUUGGAGCUUGUCGUACUUGGACAUCUUGGUGGUACUAUCCUCAUGCUUGUUGUCUUGGGGUUUGGUCGUCGCAAAGUGUGCUUGGGGUGGAGAAGCCUUGGUCUUCAUGAGUUCUUGCUGCGCCUUGAGAGUACCAAUGUAGUUGUCAUCGAGGGACUUGUAGUUCUCAAGGAAGAUAGUCUUGGAGAUGUCGUUGUUCAACCCCAUCAUGAAGUGGAACUUCAUCCGUAUGGGUUUGUCUACAUCGGCUCGUUGCAAGGCUUUCUUCAUCUUCUUGAAGUACUUGUCAAUGGACUUGGAUCCUUGGAUGGUGUUCUCCAAUUGGCGUAGAAGAUGUUCCGUGUAGGUGGAAGGCAAAAACUCUCGCUACAUAGCUCUCUUCGUCUUGGGCCGACUAAUGUCGAAGGUCUUUGAAGGUGACGCAUAGUCGUGGAAGUAACUUGUGGCGCACUUCACUUGAUCUUCGGAGGGGACUUGAUGUAGCUUGAGGUAGUUGUCCAUCUUGCACUCCCACUCGAGAUACUCCUCGGGGUCUUGAGUUCCAUAGAAAGAAAUCAUGUGGUCGGUGUUGAGGUCAUGGUAGCUCAUGGAAGUCGCAGACUUGAGCUUGGGGAGCUUCUCUUGAGGUGAUUAUGGUCGAAGAUUCCACAUAUCCAAAGGCGAAGAUGCCUUGAAGUCGCAUGGCGAAGAUUCCAAGGUAGAUGGUGAAGUCGUCAAGCGGUGGUUGGUGUUGAGCUCUUGACCUUCACGUUCUCGUCGGUGAUGGUGUCGAUGCCGAUGUGACCUUGCCGGAGAUGGUAGCUCGGAAGCAUGUGCACUUGAGCGUCUUCUCGAAGAUGAGGAAGACCACUUGUAGGUCUUGAUGAGGGAUUUGAGCUCCUCCAUUUGAGCAUCCAUCUUGGCGUCCAAGUGGUUUUUCAUGGAAUCACACUUGUCGUUGUUGUUGUAGACCAGAGGAGAUGUGCUUUGCCUAUCCAUCACAAGACUCGAGCAAACGUGAGUGGAAGAAAGGAAAGAGCUAGACCAAAUGUACCUUAUCCAAUGUUGAAGAUGGAUCAAUGAUCACUCAAUAAUGUAUUAUGGAAAUAGCACAAUUAGUACCGGAUCUUUUCAAUUCUCACACCUACACAAAUAAGGCUUAUGAAGUAGCUUGGUGAGGAUAGUGGCACAAAAGUAUGAUGCAAUUGUUAGCAAGAGUCGGUAAUGUUGAAAGAGAUCCACAAAUUCACAAGUGAAACAAGCCAAAUAGCAAUGAAUGGCACACGGAAACACGCACACGGAUAGAUAAAUGGGGUCGUGCAACCAAGGAAUGAGCACAAAAUAUGGAAUCCACGGAAAACGCUCGUGUUGCACAACUCUAGAGAGACGCUAGCACGCUUGCUCAAUAGGCAGAUACGACACUUGUGCACAACCUAUAAGAUGCAAAAUGUAUCAACUUUCUAUCCCAAGUACGCUAUGUAUGUAUGGUUCUCGGUGUUUCUCACACGAUGAUCCAAGAUGAUCAAUGAUGCCAAUUUGAUAUGCAAUGUGGUAUGAUGCUAUGGCUCUUGCUUACAAGCUCUUUGUUUUUCUCUUUGCUUAAAAGCUUUUUUGUCCACUUUUGCAAAAUGCUCGAACUAAGAUAGCAAUUAUGUAUAUGCGGGAACAACCAUGUGGCACAAGAGAUGAUAUGAUUAUACCAAGAUGAGGUAUGUAUGCAAUGGAAGGUGCGGAAACUAAUAUCACUAAAAUGCACAAGUAACGUGGCCCGGCAAUACUCUAAUGGCUAGUCUCGAUAGGCAAGUGAUGCAAAAUGGGCUAGGGGUUAACAAUGCAAUGGCAAGGAGAAUGUACAAUGAUUUCGUCGAGGUUACCGUCCAUGGCAGUGAUGAGUGGCGGUGUUCUUGAUGUAAAAAUGUUCCUAAUUAGCCGAAACACCUUAGGAAACGGGAAAAACCGCGAACUCGAAAUCUCAAACGGAAAAUGUCAAAUGGUGGUAACGGAAUGCGGUGGUGGUUUUGCGGAAACUCAAUGGGAUUGUGGAAGUGCAAUGAUAGGCUUUGGAGUAGGCUAUGCGAAAGUGGAGGUGGUUGGUUAUGCGAGUCGGAGUUCAAGUCACCUUCCCUAAGUAGUUGAAACACCUUAGGAGACACAAACCACAACUCAAACAAGCUCAAACAAAACUGGGUUAAGUUGGGGUGGAAGGGUAUGGUGGUGGUUGAUGAUGAAGUAACCGCCCCUAAGUAGCCUAAACAACUUAGGAGACUCAAAUCACAACUCAAGUAACCACAAAUGCAAUGGGGAACAAAAUGGGUUAAUUUGCAGAAAGCAAUGGUGGUAAUGCGGAUGAUAUAGUCGAAGUCCUAGGCAAAGAUGCCAAAUUUCCAAAAAAUCUGAUGGAGUCAGAUGAUGUUGCUGGUAUUUUUGUGGGAUGGGGGUGUCAAUAGCUACAAAAUGAGAUAAAGAACGUCAAAAAUGGACUCCGAAUGAAUUAGUUAUGCCCAAAACAAAAAUUCAGCACAUUCGGUUUCAGGGGUAUCCGAACAUCCGGGCGUAGGUCCGGAUGAUCCGGGUAACUGUACCAGAUUAGGGUGCAUGGGGUGUCUGGAUGUCUGGGAGAGGGUCCAGCUGAUCUGGGUUGGUCCGGAUGAUCCGGGACCUUGUCCGGAUGAUUCGGGCAGGUCAAUCCACUUGGGAUUUCCUCUUGGGGACGAUUUUUUUGGCGGAAUUUUCGAUCUUAUGGGUCAAGAUUGUGAAGAUUUCAUGGAUGGAAGGUGGGGAAACUUGUGGAGAAGUUAGAUCUAUCUACAACACAUCAAAUCCAUGGAUCAAAUCCAACAAAUCACAAAAAAAUGAGGCUAUUCUUUGGUGGGGAUUUUCGAAUUUAUAACAAAAUCAACCAAAAUAGGCUAGAAAAUGAGGGGUAGGGACUCCAAAUUCGUGAUCAACCAUGGCUCUGAUACCAAGAUGAUGUAGGGUGGAACCCUAGGGCCGAUCUUUCACGAUGUGGAGGAGGAUUCCCAAAGAACACACAAGAACACACAAGGGGAAAAUAGUCAAAUUGACUUGAUCCAAUCACACAUGUGCUAGAUUCAAACACACAAAGAGAGAUACAAAGGUCCAAAUCCAACACAAGAAGAUACAAGAGGUAACUAGUUCAUCCAAUCCUUGGAAGGAGUUGAGGUCUUGAAUCCUAGAAGGAUCUUCCCUAAGAUGGGGUCUUGAAUCCACUAUGGGAUCUUCUCCAAAGGAGGUCUUGAAAUCCAAUGGAGUGUAUCAAUCUCACUCGCUCAAGAGGAGAUGGGGUAAGGAGCAAAGCUCACAUACAAAUGAGCUAUCCUAUUUGCUAACCUAGAAAAGGGGGGAGCAGGUCUAUUUAUAGUCUAAGCCACGAAGGGGUAAGUGAGGUGGUGAAACGGGUACAUGGGCCUCGGCCCGGAGACAUGCACGCAAGCAAGGCCGGAUGAUCCAGACGGGGGUCCGGAUGAUCCGGGCAACUUCCGAAUGAUCCAGGACCUGGUCCGGAUGAUCCGGCUCCAACAAGGGGCUUCUGCAUGGUUCGGUCGUCAAGGCUGGGGGUUUACCCCGAUGAUCCGGGGGGCCGUCCAGAUGAUCUGGCUGAGCCCUGAUGAUCCGGCUCUGCGUCUGGAUGUCUGGCUCCAGCUCAGCAGUCGUGAAGCCUUCUUCUCCUUUCUUCUGUCUUCUCUUCCACGCUUCCCUCGCGAACGGUGUAGUUGUUCCUUGGCGCUUGCACUCCUCCUCGACAUUCGUGAAGCUCCGACAAUACCUAUGCAUGCACGAUGGAGGGUCAAGUAGUAUACCAUCCUCGAAGGGGUCAAGCGAGCACGUGUAAAGGAGAUGAUUCACCUUUGUGAAUGUGAAGUAGAUGUCGCAUGUGUCACUUGCCAAACGGACUCUUGACAUGGUGAUGUACAUAGGAUGCUCUGCAUCACGUUAUGUCUGUGAAAAGUAUAUCGUUAAUAUAAUUACAUCUACUACUAACACUCCACCUAAAAAGUGCUAUCCAUCAUACAUCUCAAGGUAUUAAGUUUGCAAGAAGCAGAGUAUUGCAAUAAGCAAGAUGACAUAAUGUAGAUAGGAAGACGUCAAUCAAUAUGACAAAACUCUGUCAUUUUAUCGUUAGUGGCAACAAUACAAUGCGUGACUUAGCCCCUUUUGUCACUAGGUUAGAGCACUACAAUAUUGAACCCACUACAAAGCACUACUCCCUCUAAAGAAAAACACAUCGAACCUGGCCAAAGAAGAUAGAUAGAUCAGAGAGCAUGCAAAGCUAUUUAAUUAUACAACAAGAAAACCUCAAAACAUUCAAUUGGUUACAAUGAACAAUCUGAGCAUGCAUAAAGUGACGAUUCAACAUAUCCCAACAAAAAACACCAGUGAUUACAUUGAAUUGAUCCCAAUCAUGUGAGGCAGCUCACGGGAACAUGAUAUUGAAGAUGAGAGAGAGAGAGAGAGAGAGAGAGAGAGAGAGAGAUCCAUCUAGCUGCUACUAUGGACCCUAAGGUCCUAAUGGAACUACUCACACAUAAUCACGGAGGUAGCAAGGUUGAUGAAGAAGACUCUGACAAUGGAUUCCACCUUCGGGAGAGCUCUAGAACAUACCUCCAGAUUGGAUCUUUGAGAAACAGGAACUUGCGGCGGCGAUAAAAUUCUUCUAAAAAUACGACUAAGGAUUAUGGUAUUUAUAGGGAUUUAUGGCGGUGGAAUCGAGGUAAGGCGGUAUCUAUGGGCCCCACAUGUCCUAGUGGCGUGCCCUAGGGCCAGGGCAUGCCACCUGGCCGUGUGGGCCCAUGGUGGGUUGUCUUGUCCUCCCACAGAGCAUCUAGGGUCCUUCAUUGUCCUGAAAAAUCGUCGAAAAUUGGCAUCAUGUUUUGACCUUCCUAGAUAUUGAUUUCCUGCUAAACCAAAAAAACAUGCAGAAAACAGGAACUGCGUUGGGCACUAAAUUAAUAGGUUAGUCCAAAAAAUUUGGUAUAAAAAUAUAUACAAGUUAUACUAUAAUAGCAUGAAAUAAUAAUAAAAAUUAUAGAUGUUUGAGACGUAUCAGCAUCCCCAAGCUUAAUUCAUGCUCGUCCUCGAGCAGGUAAAUGAUAAACAAAGAUAAAGUGUGAUGUUGAAUGAUAUCUAACAUAAGCUUGAUCAAAUGAUGUAGGGUGGUAUGAACUUAAGAUAAAAGUUAUUGAAGGCAAUAGUUUAUCAAUUUGAUAUAAAAACAAUGAUACACAAGCAUGCAAAUAAACAGUCAUUGCCUUUCAAGAAUACAAAUGCUAAAUAUCUGAUUCCGUACCAAUUAUUAGUCAAGUGUAUCACAAGAACAUAGCAGGCUUGGGACAGGCAUAGAAGCUACACCUGCCUUGAGACAACUAGGGCGUGUUUGGUAGCCCAACCAGGCCCGCGCAAAGAAGAAAAUGGCAUGUUUGGUUGCCUGGGCUGCAUCUCCUUCUCGGGCCGCACGGAACUUAAAGCAUCCUGAGGCCUAUCCACGAAAGAACGGCCGAAUCGGCAGUUUUUUACGAGACGGGCUCACUACGGCCACACGUGCCUCUUCACUACAUGCCUCGGGAGCGUGGGAGACGGACGGGACGUCUCAUAACUCCCCUUCCUCUCUUGUGUCACCACUCACUCCUUCAUUCACACCACUCCCUCUCACUUUCCUCACAGCUCCUUGCUCUCCUCCGAUGGCUCGCCCACCACCGCGCCGCCCCCUGACCCGCAUCAUUGCCGGGAGUAACAACGUCCAUGACCGGUGGGUGGCCAGCCUCACCAACUCAGGCAUUGACCUACUGGCAGCCAUCCGCGCGCCCUCGCCCUUUUGCACAGGGCCCCUCGUCAUGCCGAUGAGGUGUCGGCCGCUCCAGCUCCGCAUUGUGGUCCUGGGUUCGGUUGCAUUGUCGGAGGGGGACAUUGGGUGCGCUGCUACUCGAAACCCCAGUGGGCGGAGGUUUUUUUUUUAACCCCAUUCGAGGGUUUUCUCCGGGCAGUGCAACAAGGCCACGGACAACACCCUCUUCCUCGACCUCCCGCGUGACCAGGAGCAUCGGCGCAUCACUGAUGGCCCUCAGCAUUGUCGGCUCGUCCUCUUUGGCCGACCCCUCCUUCUCGUCAAGGUUUUCUCCUCGGCCAGCGUACGCUCCAACGUCACCCGCUCCGGUAAGUUGCAUUUCCCCCCUUUGCUCGUAGAUGUAGAUUAGGGUUUGCUAUACUAGGCAUGGCUUGGCUUGGAUUAGAUUCAACUCGAUUCAAUCCACUUCCUAUCGAAUCGAUUUGAAUCCAAUUGGUUGCUUCUUGACUGUUACUGUAGAUUAGUGCACUGCCCCGUCGUUGUUAGAUUGGUAGACUAGUGCACUGCCUUGAUGAAAACUAGGUGUUGUUGUAGAUUUGUGCUUGCAAGUGACAUUGGAUUGAUGUUCAUGCUAGAUUGGUACUGGGAUUUGCUUGAUGUUCAUGGCAAUUGCUUGAUGGUCAUGCUGCAUGAUUCCACUUGUAAGUUGUGUUAAUUUUGUUCCCAAAGAGAAAGGGAUGAUGCAGUACAGUAGAGGUAGGUAUCUUCUUCGGUUAGAAACCAAGCUUAUCAAUCCAGUAGGAGAACUAAGCAACAACUUGUUAGCAACACCUACAACAAAAUAACAAAUACUUGCACCCAAAUAAUUCACAGCCAAAUCUACGGUUUCACAGUUGUUUCAACCAAACUGCUUUUAGCUUUUCCACAACUGGAAGUUUACAGCAGCUUUGUCGUAGCUUACAGGCAGCUUUUUCAGAAUCUAGCAGCAUACAAUGACUUGAAUAUGUAGAGCUGACGAGUAAUCAGGAGUACUGCUGUUUCAGAAUCUAGCAGCAUACAAUGACUUGAAUAUGUAGAGCCGAGGAGUAAUCAGGAGUACCGCUUCAGCAGGAACAACUAAGCAGCAACAUAAUCAACUAAGGUUUGAUUUGUCACCACAUCAAUUUCCUCAGUAAGCACCAAAUUAGUUGAAUAGAGCACAGAAAAACACAUCAAACACAUCCAGCAAUAUAACAUGACAAUUACCAGAAAUUGUAGAAGCGUGAUGGUAAAAAAUAAUUAUAUGGAACACCAGCAGGAGGGAAUGAUGGAAAAUAGUACCAGGUACAAUAAACAAUAAUGAUUGGAUCAGCUACAUGUCAGAUCAUAUGAUAUUUACACACAGAAGACUUUAAUAUCUUAGCCAUACAAAUAUAGAGUAACCUGAUGUCCAGUUGCCACAUUGAUUUAUGUCAUGAAUCGGGCAGAGAAUUCAGCACUUCUAUAUUGGGCGAACAGACAACCAAAGAGAAGAUUUUGUAGUUGGAUGUCACUCUACACUUCACAAUUUUACACCCUUCCUGUUGUGCUUUCCUUAUAGAGUAUAUUCACCAUGGUCAAUAAGUCAAGACAACUCUGCUGCCCUGGUAUACAGAAACUCUGCUUGCAACAUGUGAUGCAAAGUACAAAGAGUAUAAUUGCCUGAAAACAAACACCAAAGUGACCCACGGUAUAUACAGCUUGAGAAUUGCCCUGUGCCAGGUAGGUAACGAGGAACCGGGGACUACUUGAGGUUCAUAUAGCUUCCACUAAACUAUUCAUAUUUUUCUCACCACUUAAUUAUGGCAUCAUGUUGAUGUGCAUCUCAUGAAACAAACAAUGUGUCACGACAUUAAAUCAACAAGCACUUUCACCAGGACAAACCAUGCAUAACAACACAUCUCCUGUCUUGCUUGUUCUAGUCCUGAUGUACUGUGGCAAACUCAUUCUUUAUCUGCACAAGCUUCACAGAACCAUCGCCACCACACGAAACGAAACCAUUAGUCAAGACAUGGAUAUCUGUUACAGCAGCCUGCAAUAAACAUGCAGACAUGGAUAUCUGUUACAGCAGCCUGCAAUAAACAAGGUUGUUAAAAUUUAUCUAAUCUAUUGAUAUAGCAUACCCUAACAACACCACCAAAGCCCCUGGAGGUUGGUUGAAAAAAAGUGUGCCGCUCAUGCAACUUCGGCCAAUGAAAGACUAGCUGGGAAUUUUUAGCAUCCCAAAGCUUUACAUCUCCAUCUUUGCUUCCAGUCAAGAAUAAGGUGGUAUCUGGAAUGGUCGAUAGACUGGUGACACUCCCUGCAGAUACAAGAUAAGUGAUAAGACAGAAAAUCAACUUUAGAAUUGAUGAGUGUCAUGGCAACGUGAGAGCUUACCUAAAUGAGCCUUCGGUAUAUGCCAAAUCAUCCCACGGGAGCUACCCCCAGCAGAAGUUUUGUGAUGCUUACUCUUUCCAGUAGAAACGAACCGGAAAUCAUGCAAUGCCACAUCUCCACUUUUCCCACCAGUUACAAUCAGCGGUGAGAUGGAUCCACAGCCUAUGUUGUUGUCGAACACAGUAAGAGAACGGGCUCCUCCUACAAGAUGAAGUCCAUGGUCAGCCAUCCCUACUAUAUCUAUAGAAAAAAGUGCACCAUAACCUUCAACUAUUGCGAGUAAACCUGGGAAUAGUUUGUAAUCCAGAUUAAACCCAGCCCAAUCCAUACAAGUAUAAGUCCAACAAUCAGACCAGACCAGACCAAACUGCAAAUGCUAUAAUCCAAACCAAUCCAAACUGUACGUAUUUUCAAGCCAAACCCAUCCAACCCAGUCCCCACAUACAAUUUCAAUCUGAAGUUUCAAACCAAGGGCGUGUCCAAUUACUAUGGGAAGAGAGGCGUUGGAAGGGUGAUUAGCUGCUGCUGCAUGUUACUCACCACCACAACGUACGUACAUAGAACAAGCUAUAAUGCUAGAUACUAUAUAUGACUAGCUGCACUCCGUCCAUCACGGUAUAAGACGAUCUUGUUCGCACUGUCCGACCUCGUCGGCCAACUCGCCGGCGCCGUCGAGCGGGAAGAAGGGGCACCUCGUAGGGCGCCAUGUGACUGUUGUAUAUCACACUGUCUGGCAGUAGUUGAGCAGUUCGGCCACGGCCUGCGCCACACACAACCCACAGUUCGCCACCGCCUCCGCCGCCACCGAGCUGCGCCAUGUCCAUCGCCAGCCCCUUGUUCGCACCGUCGCCGGAGUCGUUGGACAUGAGCUUCAUUGCGCUUGAUUGAACGCGACCAGAUACAUCAGCCCAUGCCGGUGGCGUUCUGGGUGUUGAGAAGGCUGAGCAUGUAGCCUGUGUCCGCACCGCCACGGCCAACCAGAGCAUGCAGUCCUACCGCAGGACGUCGUCACGGCACUGCGCAAGGCUCCAUGUCGCCAAGGAGGAGCGGGCGGCGGUGGCCAUGGCGUAGCAGGCGGAGGCGUGCGGUGUUAGACCUUUGAACCUGAGCAUUGAUAGUUGUGGAUGACACUAGGAGAGUUUGGGACAAUUUUCGUUGGUUUAUUUCUCACACAAUGCCAUACCAACCUGAGGGGUUGGGGUUACAUACUUAUAGGCUGCUAGCCAGCCAAGCAUAUGCUGAGAUGCUACUAAGAUGCCAGUCUAAGAUGCUAGUCUAAGAUGCCAGUCUAAGAUGCUAUCCUAACUGCCAGUCCUUGAUGGUCAGGAACUCUAUCCUAACUGCCACAAGGACCAUGUGCUGCAGACCCACAAGGACCAUGUGCUGCAGCCCCACAACGACCCUAGUACACAGACUUAUCCAACAUGCGGGACAAGGCCGCCAGAACCUGGUUGAUGCUGGUUUGUGUCUCUACUAGAGCAUGGACGUGCCAUGGCGAGCAGGAGCAUCAUCAUCGGCACCAGUAGUGGAGACGACAAGGAAGACGUUGCCAAUGGGUGAUUGCUUUUCCCGGCAAAAAAAAGGGUGAUUGCUUUGAUCGGGACCCUAACCUGGUCCCUGAUUUAGUUCUCCGUCCAUGGGUUAGAAUGGUUUGAGACUGUUUGUUCUGUGACCAGACCGAACCAGACCGAACCGAUAAUAGGAAAAGCCCAAACCAAACCAGCUUACAUUAGGAGCUCAGCCCAUUUAAUCCAAACCAAAAGAGACCAAUAGGAAAACCGAUUUGAAAUUGUGGUUUGUGUCCAAACUGUUCCCAGGUUUAAUUGCGAGUUCACAUUCAACCUUUAAUUCAUAAACCGUUUAUUUAAACCCUGGUCUAUGAAAUCUAGUCACUUCACCCUCUUGAUCCAACCUUAGGUGGUUUCUUGCUGACCUGAAUGCCUCGUGGCAGAGAGCACAACUUAUCCACAUGAUCCUCCCUCCCAGUCACUUUACCCCCUUGAUCCCUUCUCAGGUGGUUUGGUGCUGACGCGAAUGCGGCGUGGCAGACAGACAGCCUCCCUCCCAUGGCACCAUCUCUCUUCUCACUUUCUCCCAGUUGUCUCUUGAAAAUAAAAACUUUCUCCCAGUUGAUGUCUCUUGAAAACAAAAAAUUUCCCCCAGUUGAGCCUCAAAUCCCUAACACUGGGAGACCUGAUGAGCGCGAGGGGUCGAGGGGUCUGCACCUCCAAUUCUUCCGUUAUGAGCGCAAGGUGUUCUCCGCAUCCACCAGCAUGGUGGUUGGUGACGGAGCAUCUGCCUUAUUCUGGGAGAAAUGUUGGUUGGAUGGUCGUGACAUUCUUGUUUGGGCAUGAGCUCCUUCUGGUGUCCAGGCGCACUAGGAAACGUUGGACCGUCANNN